AUUGAAUGAAGGAUGAUGGUCGUUCUUAACCUCAUGUAACUAAAUAUUUAUACAAUGAUUAGAACACUGCCUGACCCAUAGUGUCUAUGUACCUGUUUAUCCAAAAGAAAAAAGAAAGGAAGAGAAGAAAAAAGAAAAGAAGAGAAGAGGAAAAAAAAAAAAAAAGAGAAAAGAAAAGAAAGGAAACCAUUAUAUAGGCCUGGGUUUGGAUGUUGAUCUAAUCAUCUGGCCACUUGUUUGAAACAGACUCUUGACCCUUUCACCACUGAGUCUCAUGGAGCAUGAAACUCCCCCUAAAGUCUGUCUCAAAGCAGCCCCAGCGGUGGUUUCUUUUUGACAGAAAAGGCCCUUAGAGAACUGACUUGUGCAGGAGGAGAGGCUGUGGCCACAAAGUCGUGUCAUGAAGCGAAUGACCAAAAUACCCCAAACUUGCCCAUGCAAAUGGGUGUGAGUCUCCUGACAGCCCUUUUAGAAGUCUCUAGACUUUCUCGAACUCCCUUUUUGAAAGGGUCUUUCCAGCCAGUGGCUUAUUCUUGUGAACCUCAUAUCUUUUCUUGCAGGGGCAGGGCAGGCGAGGUGGGAGGAAGGGGCGAUGCCUGCUUUCCAGGCCCUUCCUUCUCUGCCACGAGGAUGAGACAGACCCCUGCCUGCGUGUGAGGGAGCUGGCUUGCCCUGGGUCUCUCCCACUUUCCACCACACACAUUGCCACCCUCUGUAGAGAUCAGGGUUUGAAUUUGGGCAAGGGGUCAACAUUUGUUGGAAACAUCUUUUGUGAGGUUAAAAAAAUCAACUGGUAGAUGUGUCCAUUAGCAAAUCCGGUGAUAUCUUCCUUCAAAAUGUGUGUCCAUUUCACCCCUUCUCAUCCCCUCUUCCAGUGACUUUACAGACCAGACUGCCUCCCCCUUCUGCCUGGACCACUGCAGUAGCCUGCCUCCAAACGGGCCUGGCUUCUACCCUCCCCUCCCUCCUCUCUCAGCAGCCAGGGAGAUCUUUUCAAAAUGUAACCCAAAUCCUGGGACUCACCUGCUCAAAACCCUUCAGUGGAGUCCCACCCCACCUAGAAUAAAAUCCAGAAUUCCUCUGUGCCCUAUACGGCCCUCCCUGUGUGGACCCUAGGCCCUCGCUUUCUUCCUUUUCUCCUUGCUCACUCCACUCUCCGCACUGGUCUUCUUGCUAUAGACCAAACAUAUCUAAGCACAGGCUGGCUUCAGGGCCUUAGCACGGAAUGGUCCCCUUUUCCGGAACAUUCUUUCCCCUGGAUACCUGGCUCAUUUCCUCACUGCAUUCAGAUCUCCAUUCAGAUGUCAACUCCCAGAGAGACCGUCUCUGACCAUCCUCCCCCACUUCAGUAUCCCCCAGGCCCCACUUGCUGUCAUUCUUCAUAGUUCUCAUGUCUUGCUGACAUUAUUACAGAUUUGGUGACUUUUUGCAUCUCCCAGCAGAAUACAAGCCCUGUGAGGAAAGUAUGUUGUUUCGUUCAGAUUUUCCCAGACCCCAGAAUAUUCUGCAGCUGGUGCUCAGUAAAUAUUAAACUAGGUAAGGCCUUUUGGGGGUGGAAACAAGGCAAUCUGACAAAGUCCUAAGCCUGAUGUCUCUCGUAAACUCGCGAAGCUGGCUCUGCACCUGCUCCUCGGAAAGCUACAGACAGGUUCCGAACAGCGGGAACAACACUGGGUCGGUGUUUAACGUCCCCGAGGGAACCCCCCUGGACGCGCAGGUGACUGGAUGACUCCACCCGCAUUUGUCUUAACAUCCUCUCCCUCGCAUCUGGUUCCCAUUCCCUUCUUGUGCUUCUGGGCACCAGACAAGCAGCCGUCACGUUUUGGUUCUGUACCAGUCAGGCGACGGUCCUCAUCUGUGAUGGUUCGAAAGCAAAGGGGCCCCGUUUCUUGACAUUCUCCCCAUUGAAAGGCGGGAUCUACGUCCUUUCCUGGAGUCCUGUGAUGGCUCCAGGCAGCGGAGCCGCAAAGGCUCACGCAGCUCCCUCCAGAUCUCCUUACUCGCUCCGCGGGAAGCACCAAGGCCGGGGUGCUGAAGAGUCCAAGUGCUGGUGCUCUGGCGUGUGGUCUCAGCUGAGCUCUCAGCCCCCAGCGCUGGCCGACAGCCACACAAACUGCCAUUUUGGAUGUUCAGACCUUUUGCACUUCCAGAUGACCGACCACAGCCCGGCUGACAUCUGACUACAAGGGCAGGGGAAACCCCAAGUCACGACUGCCCAGCCCAGCCCUUCCCAAAUUCCUGACCAGAAACUCAUGAGCGGCCUAAAGCGAUUGGUGUUUUCUGAUGCCGAGUUGUGCGAUAAUUGGAACUCAGCAGAACCCCGCCUGCACUCUCUCCCCUCCGUACUAAGCACUAUGAGCGAAUGUUUCUUUAACACCCUGGUCGUCCGAUUUCUCACAUGUAAGUUAGGGGUGACCAUCUACGUUCAUGUGGUGGUUGUAGAACAGAAGCAGGUUUUGUUGCAAACCUAGUCUGGUUCCCAGCACAUGCUGUAUUUCCUCAAACCUGAGAUGCUACCAGUUGGACGACUCCCUGUUAAUUUACGUGUCAUUAACAGAGGAAGAAAUGCCUUCAAUUAAACGACUGAGCGCCACUUGUCGGAUGCAUCCAUAUUUGGGGAAGGUGAAAUUUGAAAAGAUGUGUGUCUGGGGAUCUUUGGUUCCAAGAAUCACACACGCCUAGGACCCGAGGCUCCACAUUUUACCCAUGAGACAACACUGAGCAGCGUUAAUCCGAAAUCACGCAGCUCCAGCUAGAAGUGGGGGAGCUGAGAUCUGACUCCACGUAAUCCCAGGCUCUGAGACCCUCGUUGCCACUGCACCACGUCCAGCUGCCUGCCGACAGCGUGGAGACCUUGGGUGCGGCUCCUGGAAUCAGGUUGCCUGGGUUCCUAUCCCAGCUCAACUGUCGAACGGCAUGAUGAUCCAAGGUGCCCAUCUCUGAUGGCUAAAAUGCGGCUCGACCCAAAGGACCCCUCCCUGAGCUUCACCCGCUGGCCCCGCAUCUGGAACAAUUCAAAUCCUCAUGGCCCCUGCUCUGAACGUCGAGGCCACCCUGUCCGCCGGUGACCACGGAUUUCAUUUCCCCCCGAUUGCAGUCGUGUGGGCAGUUACAAGUUGAAAACCAGCAGCCAGCUUCAAAUACAUUUUCUUCAUGCCCUCUCUGAAGUACUUCGUUUUUCCUGUGACACCUUAAUUCUGCCACGCUAUUCCAGCAUGCUGAGAAUAGACUUCUCAAUGCCCUGCGGCUCUCACGGGAGGACACUUUCUGGCUUCCCUGGCUGCCUGCCAAGAUGCACUCAAGCCGUGAUGUACAGUCAACGGGGCACUUUUCGCCUCUGGUUUUCCAGAGUGGAGAGCACAUCAUUGCCAGGAAGUUUCUGCCUCACUCUUAGUUCCCCAGGGUGGCCUGCCAGUCACCGGUGUGGUACCUCAGACAAUGGAGAUGCAGGGGCCGUGAUUCCCUGCCUGUAUGUCAAGGUCUUCGACGCCUACUUGUGCAUGAGCUGGAAGAGGCGUGCCCGUCUCAGAGUGUGAAGAGCUGGCGAAGUCCCCACGGUUUCUCUCCGUCUCCUGGACCCACUUUCCCCUCUUCACAGUGGCUUCUUUGUGUCCCCCAAGGGGCCAUCUCCUGCCCCUCCAGCUCAUCUCCAGCUCGUGGCUUUGCCGACUCCUCACCUACCUGUGCUGUUUUCUGUACUGCAUAGAACUGGGUCCUCCAGGAAGACAUAUUGGAGUCCUGACCCACAGCAACUGUGAGUGUGACCUUAUUUGGAAAUAGGGUCUGUGCGGACAUAAUCCAGUUUAGAUGAAGUCAUUCUGGAUCAAGAUGGCCUCCAAUCCAGCCAUGGUGUCUUUGUAAGAGAGAUGGACAGACGGGGAGAAGGCCGUGUGAAGGCAGGGGCAGACAUGGGUGGGGACGCUUCUGCAAGCCAUGUGGUGUGUAAGGUUGCUGGCCCACCACAAAGGCUAGAGGAGGCCAGGAAGGACCUUGCCUUUCAGGUGUCAGAGGGAGCAUGGCCCCAUGGACACCUCGAUUCAAGACCUUCAUCCUCCGGAACUGCAACAGAAUAAAGUUCUAUGGUUUUAAGCCUCCCAGUCUGUGGAGCUUUGGCCACCCCAGGAGACCCACACACUCCCCUCCACCCUUCAGUCUCCUCCUCAGUGUCACCUCUUUGUUGAGUUACCCACCCGGGGCACAUUUUACCAUUCUUCCACCAGGUGCUUAUUACCGUGUGUGAUUCUGUUUUGCAAGCUUCCCCUGGUGCUCAUAAGCCCUCUGCCGUGUCCAUAUUGCUCACCGCAUGUCCUCAGUCUCUAACACAGCAUCUGCACACAACUGGGUGGGCAAUAAAGUAUUUGUAGGACGCAUGCAUUGCAGUCCAGGGGAAUCUUCCGGACUUACAGAAUUAGUUCGUGUCAUAGAAUCUCCAGUCAGAAGAUGACCCUGGGUACUUCCCCUAGAAAUCCUCAAAGUGCAAUUAUUCAAAUCGAGUUGUUCAACCCAAGUCAGUUGCAGUAAAACAAGAGAGACUUGAGAGUCGACCCUGAGGGGCUGAUUCUCUGCGGCUCUUUUGGAGCAGAUGUGACCGGGAAAUCAAUACAGCCAUUAGAUUAAUCUGCGGCAACCAUAAUGUCAUUGCAUCUUUCGCCCUGUGAUGUUGACAGAGAUGUCAGAGCUAGGAGGAGGGGAGGCGCCUCAAAGAAGGAACGGGGCCUCCGAAGUGAAGGGGAGACUUGAAACCCCACAGAGCCUCACUUAACGGACGAAGGAUUGCGGAUGGCUGCCUCUGGCAUCAUCGGGUCUUCUGUCAGAGAAUGCAGUGACUUGGCAACAGGCAGAGCAGGGGGGACCUGUAAAGCUCGGACAUCGGGAGGCCUCUCGGGAGGAUGAACUCGGCAGCAAUGGAGCGGUAGCCUGGUCUGGACUCUCUUUUAUUUCCAGAUUCUCAGCCUCUCCCGAGGCGGGGCGGGGAUGGGAAGACCCCAUGGGAUUUCCUUCUUCCAUUGCAUCUGGCUUUUUAAAAUUAUUAUUCUCAUUAUUAUUAAUAUUUCCUGACAUGAGGAGAGAGGGCUUCCUUUAUAAGCACAGCGCUGGGCUCUUGGAAAGCAUUCAAGAUAUGUUUGGAUGGUGAAGGCUGCUCCCAUCCACAGCGCACAUUGGUACAGAACACCUGCGAGUUCGGGCACUGCUCCAGGUGCAGACGAGGGGGUGUGUGGGGGGGGCGGGAUUUCUGCAGUGAACAAAACAGACAAGACCCCUGCCUUCAGGGAGCUCACAUUCUAGUGGAGACCAAAAUCAAGCUAAGCCAUUAGCUUGAGUUUUCUCUCCCGCAGACUUGGCCAACUGCCCCCCCCCCCCAAUCUCUUCUCCUCUUCCUUUGUAGAGCAGUGGUUCUGAUCCAGGGGCACUUUUGCCACACACCCCCCCCCCCCGCCCCACCCAAGAUAUUUGGCGAUGCCUGGAGACGGUGUUUGGCUGCCAUGACCUGUGUGUGUACGCAUGUGUGACUAGCGUCUGGCUCGUAGAAGCCAGAGAUGCUACCCAACAUCCUGCUGUGCUCAAGACACCCCCCACAAUGAAGACUUUUCCAGACUGCGGUAGCAGCCGACAGUGCUGAGACCCAGGAAGUCGGGUGGAGACAAAAGUGGCUGAGCAGCCGGUGACUACAUUUCCUAGCAUCCCUUGGGGCUAGAUGUGGCCAUGUGACUGGUUCUCACCAAUGGAGUGGGGACAGGCGUGCUGUGCCCAUGCCCAGGUGCAAGGCUCUUAGUAAGUAGAUGGGCCUCUUCCCCGCCCCGCCCCGCACCCCCCUCACCCCCCAGGCUGGAUGAAGAGAACAGCAAGGUUAUUUGGUCCGGUGUUUUGUUUAUUCGUCAUAGACAUUUGUUUCUACAGAACAACUCAGAGGAUACACAGAGGCACACGGCUGUAAUUGCCGCCACAAUCUGCUGCUGAGGAGACAUGCGACCCGAGGAUAAGGGGCUGGGAGCUGGAUGGGGUGUGUUGGGUCCCGGGAUAACUGGAGGCCCCUGUGAUGAACCACGUAGGGAUCCUAUCAGUCACGAUCUGACCCCCGGGCCUGAUGGUGACAGUGGAGCCACGCGGGGACCUAAAUCGCCAUGUGAGGAGAGCUGUCUGCCAGUCAGAGAUACUCAGCUCAGAAUUUCAUGAGAAAAGAUAAAGAAGCAAAUGUUCAAGGAGGCUAGCAGGCCAGGUGUGAGCGGUAAGAGACCUACCAUAUAUUUUCUCUCUGACUCUUUGUUUCCUGGUAAUGGUGCACCUUCUCCACGUACACGAAGCUAGUCUGCAAUGAGAAAAAUCAGCAUUUGGAAGACCGGAACUUCGCUUGUCUCCUAAGAAGAACCUUACUUUUAUGUUGGGUGUGAAACCAGGAGCAUGUGCUGUGGCAGCAUUGAGAAGAGGGAUGUCAGGCUUCUCUAGACCUGUCCACCCACAAAGCCAUUGUCACUUCAGGCAAGCCUCCUCACCAUUCCGGGCCUCCUGCUCUCUAACACGAGCAUUUAAAUACCCACCCACAGCAUUUAGAUGGUUAUUGCAAGUAAAAGAUGAAAUGAUUUCAUUGUAAUUAUUAUUAUGGUUACUUACU
Lynx canadensis (Canada lynx) is the source of this 6610-nucleotide long non-coding RNA. RefSeq lists it as uncharacterized. The transcript has 9 exons. NCBI's taxonomy places the organism in Eukaryota, Metazoa, Chordata, Mammalia, Carnivora, Felidae. The record is from RefSeq and is a predicted model, not a curated record.